This 553-nucleotide ribosomal RNA is filed under the name uncultured archaeon. RNAcentral's name for it is "bacterial SSU rRNA". It matches the Rfam family "Archaeal small subunit ribosomal RNA", at positions 323 to 879 of the family's 1478-position model. The record is from RNAcentral.
CUUCGGGGUGCCCAGGCGCGAAACCUCUGCACUAGGCGAAAGCUUGACAGGGUUACUCUGAGUGAUGUCCGCUAAGGGCAUCUUUUGGCACCUCUAAAAAUGGUGCAGAAUAAGGGGUGGGCAAGUCUGGUGUCAGCCGCCGCGGUAAUACCAGCACCCCGAGUGGUCGGGACGAUUAUUGGGCCUAAAGCAUCCGUAGCUUGUCCUGCAAGUCUUCCGUUAAAUCCACCUGCUCAACAGAUGGGCUGCGGGGGAUACUACAGGGCUAGGAGGCGGGAGAGGCAAACGGUACUCAGUGGGUAGGGGUAAAAUCCACUGAUCCACUGAAGACCACCAGUGGCGAAGGCGGUUUGCCAGAACGCGCUCGACGGUGAGGGAUGAAAGCUGGGGGAGCAAACCUGAUUAGAUACCCGGGUAGUCCCAGCUGUAAACGAUGCAGACUCGGUGAUGGGUUGGCUUUGAGCCAACCCAGUGCCGCAGGGAAGCCGUUAAGUCUGCCGCCUGGGGAGUACGGCCGCAAGGCUGAAACUUAAAGGAAUUGGCGGGGGAGCAC